AACGAACGUUAGCGGCGCGCUUAACACAUGCAAGUCGCACGAGAAAGGGCUUCGGCCCCGGUACAGUGGCGCACGGGUGAGUAACACGUGGAUAAUCUUCCCUUGGGCGGGGGAUAACCUUCCGAAAGGAGGGCUAAUACCGCAUAAGACCACGCCUUCGCAAGGAGGAGGGGUAAAAGCAGGCCUCUGCACGCAAGCUUGCACCUAAGGAUGAGUCCGCGGCCCAUCAGCUAGUUGGUAGGGUAAUGGCCUACCAAGGCGAAGACGGGUAGCUGGU
RNAcentral lists this ribosomal RNA (277 nucleotides) under uncultured bacterium. RNAcentral describes it as "partial 16S ribosomal RNA". It matches the Rfam family "Bacterial small subunit ribosomal RNA", at positions 29 to 291 of the family's 1533-position model. The record is from RNAcentral.